GAUGAACGCUGGCGGCGUGCCUAAUACAUGCAAGUCGAGCGAACGGAAGAGAAGCUUGCUUUUCUGAUGUUAGCGGCGGACGGGUGAGUAACACGUGGAUAACCUACCUAUAAGACUGGGAUAACUUCGGGAAACCGGAGCUAAUACCGGAUAAUAUUUUGAACCGCAUGGUUCAAAAGUGAAAGACGGUCUUGCUGUCACUUAUAGAUGGAUCCGCGCUGCAUUAGCUAGUUGGUAAGGUAACGGCUUACCAAGGCAACGAUGCAUAGCCGACCUGAGAGGGUGAUCGGCCACACUGGAACUGAGACACGGUCCAGACUCCUACGGGAGGCAGCAGUAGGGAAUCUUCCGCAAUGGGCGAAAGCCUGACGGAGCAACGCCGCGUGAGUGAUGAAGGUCUUCGGAUCGUAAAACUCUGUUAUUAGGGAAGAACAUAUGUGUAAGUAACUGUGCACAUCUUGACGGUACCUAAUCAGAAAGCCACGGCUAACUACGUG
RNAcentral lists this ribosomal RNA (497 nucleotides) under uncultured bacterium. Its description in RNAcentral is "partial 16S ribosomal RNA". It matches the Rfam family "Bacterial small subunit ribosomal RNA", at positions 28 to 507 of the family's 1533-position model. The record is from RNAcentral.